GUUGAUAGGUCAGAGGUGUAAGUAUGGCAACAUAUUUAGCUGACUGAUACUAAUAGGUCGAGGGCUUGACCAAUAA
RNAcentral lists this ribosomal RNA (76 nucleotides) under Clostridium botulinum. RNAcentral describes it as "partial 23S ribosomal RNA". It matches the Rfam family "Bacterial large subunit ribosomal RNA", at positions 2852 to 2925 of the family's 2925-position model. The record is from RNAcentral. Lineage: Bacteria; Bacillati; Bacillota; Clostridia; Eubacteriales; Clostridiaceae.